Long non-coding RNA from Spinacia oleracea (spinach), 996 nucleotides. RefSeq lists it as uncharacterized. The transcript is spliced from 3 exons. The record is from RefSeq and is a predicted model, not a curated record. NCBI's taxonomy places the organism in Eukaryota, Viridiplantae, Streptophyta, Magnoliopsida, Caryophyllales, Amaranthaceae.
UCAUUGAGUCAUUGAGAGAUGAGACAAAACUCAAAAGCCCCAAAACAAGGAAAUUAGGGUUUUGUUUCCUUCGCUUCAACUUCCCCUUCUUCCUCUGUUACUCUGUCUUCUUCCUCAACCCUCAACUUUCCCACCCUCCUCAGCGGCUCCGCCGCACUCAACUCUUCAUCAGUCCUCCUCCCUCUCUCACGGAUCUCCGGUCACGGCUCACGGCUCUCACCCUCAGUCCUCCUCUCCUCACUCUCGCAACUCGCAACUCGCAAGGCUUCACUCCAAGCUUGGAUGGUGGAAGCUCUUAUUUGUGGGCAAGAUUGGAUGCGUACCUCUCAUACUUGUAUUACUAUUGAGGAGAGUUUGCUAGAGUUGGAGAAAAUGGAAGAAGGUAUGCAAGAAUUGGUUUCGGAACAACCAACUAUUAUAAUUGACGAAACGAUUGAAGAAGCUUCGGAUAUCACAAAUUUCACAAUGGACGACAUACUUGAAUGAGUUUUGUUGAUUAAUGACUUUGUAAACUUUUGGGAUUUCUGCCUGUGUGCAGUGUAGUGUAGUAAACUUCUGUGAACUUUAGUUUUUGUUAAGUGUUGUGCUUGCUUGUCUGCUUGUGCAUGUGUGGCUGUGUGCACAAUUGCACACUAUCUUAGUAUAUGUUACUGCCUACUGCUGCCUGCUGUGUGUGCUACUGGCCUACUGCCUACUGCAGUACUUCUGCUUGAUGCUGGUCAAUCUACUGUGUUUGUAAUGCUGCUGGGCCUGCUGGCUGUAAAUCUGUAAUGUUGCAUUGCUGCAAUGCUGCCUGCUGUAAGUCUGUAACUACUGCUGCAGUGCUGCCUGAGUGCUUGCUAGUCUGCUUAAUGCAGAUGCACUAAAUGUACAAGCCUACAGGGUGGAUCAUCUUUGGCUCUUUGCUCAUUUGCUGUAGAUUUGUAGUGCUGAUUGCUGACUGCAUUUAUAUGAAUUGUUGCUAUGAAUUUUUAUUUUUAAUUAUUUUGGAUUUUA